Molecule: ribosomal RNA, 223 nt
Filed under: uncultured bacterium
Lineage: Bacteria
Description: partial 16S ribosomal RNA
Rfam family: Bacterial small subunit ribosomal RNA
Source: RNAcentral
AUUGAACGCUGGCGGCAGGCCUAACACAUGCAAGUCGAACGGUAACAGGAAGCAGCUUGCUGCUUCGCUGACGAGUGGCGGACGGGUGAGUAAUGUCUGGGAAACUGCCUGAUGGAGGGGGAUAACUACUGGAAACGGUAGCUAAUACCGCAUAACGUCGCAAGACCAAAGAGGGGGGACCUUCGGGCCGUCUUGCCAUCGGAUGUGCCCAGAUGGGAGUUAG